Fukomys damarensis (Damara mole-rat) is the source of this 676-nucleotide long non-coding RNA. RefSeq lists it as uncharacterized. The record is from RefSeq and is a predicted model, not a curated record. The transcript is spliced from 4 exons. NCBI's taxonomy places the organism in Eukaryota, Metazoa, Chordata, Mammalia, Rodentia, Bathyergidae.
GCAGGAGCCAAGUACUCCUUUCCAGCAGAGGUGGGGCCUCCCAUCUCCUGAACUCCAGGAAUAGCUCUGAGGACAGCAUCCAACUCUCUCUUCCACUCUAGCUACUGCAGGAUGCAAUCUUAGUGGAAUGUGAAUGUGACUCACAGUAGCUGCACCUGGGGAAAGAAAAAACAUCUAUGCAUUCACCCAUCUGGCAGACAAAUAGCAAGGUGUGUACAGGAGCUUCAAAGCAGCAACAGGAGUAACCCAAUUCAGUACAAUGGCACAUGAAAAACCAGAUUUGCAAGUUUUGGAGGACAUCACAGGGAAUCAUCAGAUUAGCAUGCAUGGAUAAUGAAGAUGAUAAUGACUUUAAUGUUAGCCAUGCAGGUUCCUGUGAAAGUGAAAUGGAGCAAGAACUGACUGAUACAGACACAGGGAAUGCAGACCUCCUUGAUUCAGAUGAAGCGAACAGCAAUAUGAUUUAUGGAGAAAGACAAUGAACCUAGAAUAAAUGUCAUUGAUUUUGCACCUCUGUGAGAAGGUUGCUUCCUCACCUCACAGUGCUGGCUGAAAGAGGCCAGCUUCAGCACCAGGACAGUGGGAGCAGUCCACCUGCACCUUCAUGCCCAGAGCGACUUGGAGUGAAACAGUGCACCCGCCUGGCCCACUUGAUUGCUGACCGACCCAGGGUUCU